Molecule: ribosomal RNA, 122 nt
Submitted as: uncultured archaeon A07HB70
Lineage: Archaea
Source: Rfam
UAAGGCGGCCACAGCGGCGGGGACACACCCGUACCCAUCCCGAACACGGCAGUUAAGCCCGCCAGCGUUCCGGCCAGUACUGGCGUGCGCGAGCCGCUGGGAACACCGGAUCGCCGCCUCCC